UUACCCUUGACGCACACGCCUUCUCCGUUUCCCAGCAACGGUUUUCACUUAACAUUCAAUCUGCUCCAUCGUUCCCCAAUGGCCACAUUCUCCCUACGGCUAAACAACUUCAUUCCGACUCACUCCGAAAUGAUCAUCUGAUACUUCCUCCAAAGUAUUCUCCAAAUAAGAACUCCACUUCGAACAAUGCUACUCAAUCUGAAACAAUCCACUUCAAGAACAUCUCUAUUCGUCCUUACUUCUCGCGUUCGAAAC
This 255-nucleotide long non-coding RNA is filed under the name Trifolium pratense (red clover). RNAcentral's name for it is "long non-coding RNA (TPRA_LNC006689)". The record is from RNAcentral. Lineage: Eukaryota; Viridiplantae; Streptophyta; Magnoliopsida; Fabales; Fabaceae.